Molecule: long non-coding RNA, 16991 nt
Organism: Cavia porcellus (domestic guinea pig)
Lineage: Eukaryota; Metazoa; Chordata; Mammalia; Rodentia; Caviidae
Exons: 4
Source: RefSeq, a predicted model, not a curated record
CCGCCUCGCAGGGCACACGGCCCCGCCCACUUCCUCCUGUCGCCGCCUCAGGCGUGCGGAGGUGAGCCGCGCCGCUGGCACGCGUCUAGGCCUUCGUUCUACAGCGACACAGGGGCCCAACUAUGCGGCCACGCCGCCGUGGCGGAAGCCUCUGAAACUGCGAGCCAGGGUUAGCCGUUUCCCUGACUCGGCUGAGCCUCAGGUAUUCGGUCCCGGCUGAAAGCUGCCCGAGAGCCUGCCGCAGGGCCCCCGAGCGCGGCCUUCCUGCUCCCGGCGGCGCUCCGCCACCUCCCGGCUGGGCGCAGCUCUGCAGGCCGGAGGGGCCGCCGGCUACGCCUCCUUCUCCCUCCCGAUGGGCUCCCCCAGGCAGGGGCCGCUGUCUGCGGGAAGUGCCCCUUCUCUCUCCGGGGACCGGCCGAAGAGGGCAGGAGCCAGGGCCGGCUGCCCCGGCGGUGGGCGGGCGGCGCGAGGCUGACGAGAGCUUCGGAGAGCGCCUGGCCCCGGACUAGCAAGACGCCUCCGCGGACGGUCCUGUGGGCCUGGGGUUCUAGAGGAAACAGAAGAGUGUUUGGGGGUGGGGGAAUUGACUCGCUUCUGGGGGCCAUCAGCAACCUUAAACGGAGCGCUUGGCGGGGCGCGGGCAGCCUCACUCCUGCUGCGCCCGGCAGAGGAGCGAGGGAGGGAGCCGGGCCGUGCCGGGUGCAGUUCCCGCUGAGGCCACUGGAUGGCGCGGGCGCCGCACUGUGCGCCCGCCGACCGCGGGGGUGGGGGUGGGGCUGGGGGUGCCCACGCCCACGGGAACCCCGCUUUUGCUUUCCAGCAACUGUCCUUGGGGUUUUGCCUCAGGAACAGGCUCUAAGGUUGUGUAGACCACGGAUGGACCGCAACAGAGUUCAGGAGGGAGGUUCUUGUCUAGUGUUGGAAGGGCAUUUCUUAUCGAUAUGAAAAGUUAUAUAUUUAGUAUACAUGAUUAUUUAUAUGCACAUAUAUGUAGUAAAGGGUCUGAACGAAGCUGUUUCUCAUAAGCUCUUUAGUAGCAUGUACAUUACAUUCUGUAAUAGAAAAAAUUUCUUAUUUUCCAGCCAUUUUUAUAGAAAUUGCACUCUGCAACCACUUCAGUUUUUUUUCUUUAAUAUGGGAAUUCUACUCUGAGCCUGAACUACCCGUAUUUCUUUGAGCUACCUAAACUCCAUAUUUCAGGCUGUCAAUCAUUGUUUCUUUAACCUUCUGUAUCCCUGUAGAAUUAGAGGGGUAGUUUUUGUUAUGAUUUUUGGAAAAAAAAUUAGAAAAUGCCUGAAUGUCUUCAUUGGGAGAACUUAUUAAAGUAAUCAUACUUCUCUGAGGUUUAUUUUCCAUCACAACUCAACCUUGCAUCAUAAAAAGAUUGGUAGACAAAUCAUACCAAAAGUCCAGUUUUUUAUUAUUGCAUUUUUAAAAGCAGUGUUUUCUUGUGGCCUUGAUAAUACAAAGAAGGAUAAUUGUGAGAGUGAGCCAACAGCACCUCCUCUGGGGUGUUGGUCUCUCGUGACCAUGGGAGGGUAACUGCAUAGGAAGGAGCUGUGGCAGAGCGUUAAUAAGGUAGAAGGUAGAAGGCUGAGCUGCUGCCUGGAACCCUUCAGAGACGAAACAGUAACUAGGCCAGACAGGCCUGUUUUCACGCUUUGAGGGAAAAGUGAGAAAUGGAAAAUUAUCUCUUUACCUUCCCAGCAAAUACAGGCCCUUGCUCAGAAUUUCCUCUGAUUCUGCAUCCCUGAGACACCAGCCGCCCAGUUGCAUGGAGUUGAACCCAGAGAAGCUCAGCUUUGUGAGAGUUCAGUAAAAUGAAUGUUUUUGCAGUUUUGGGGGCCGGUGGGUUCCUGGUGAGCUAACUUGGGGAGGGGCCUGGCUGAGCUCUAGCUACUCCCACACAGCCUUCUGGAUUGCUGUGGAGAGCUUUUCAGCCACCAGCUAAAAAUCGUGUUUUAAAUUUGGUAAGGUUUUUCCAGUACUUACUGAGGAAAGAGAUGACAUUUGGAGAGGGUUCACUUGCUGUAAUCAUCUCUACUCCAGCUGUGAAAACCACACUUUGGCUACAUUUGCCAAUAAGCUUUCUGCUGCUGUGGCUGCUGGUGACCCCCAGACCCUGCAAGGGGAUUGAAACAGGAGUUUCCCACCUCCAAGCCUGAGCACAGCUACGGAUUAUUCAAGACAUUUUGACUACCUACUGAGCUCCAGCUACACAGUUCCUCUUCAAACAUUCCCAUUAUCCCUGAGAUUCUGUUAACCAUGAAGAAAGCAAGGCUGAGGGAGGGUGAGAGACAACCCCAAGUCAUAGCUGCCUCCUGAAUGAAUGAGAGGUGGCUCACUUGGGCCUCUAGGUGUCAAGGGCCCUCACUGACUGAGUGUGCUGUGGAGGACAGUAGCACUCAGAGGAGCAAGUCUGUCUGGGAUGACUCUGCGUCCAAGCUCUUCCUACUCUAUCCCUGCCUCCAAAGAUGGAAAGCCAGGACAGAGGUGGGGGUGUGCUCAGUGCUACAGCGCGUGCUUAGCAUGUGUGAGGCCCUGGGUUCAGCCCACAGCACCAAGAUAAAGCCAGAACACUGUUCUUCAGCUUUAUAAAUUAAAGAUCCAAGAAUCUGUGUCUCUUACCCUUUCAUGCUUUAAUUGCAAAGCCAUUUAAACCUGUUAUCAUUCAUACCCUACACAAAGAAUAAAUUGUACUGUUACAAAUACAAACAUUACAAAGGAGGUCUGCACCCAGCCCACAAAGAAGACAGAAGCUCCAGGGCAGUUACACAGAGUUUUAUUUAUCUCCUGUCUCCUCUAUGGCGUCCCAGAUGGGUACUUUAGGGGCAGAGACUGGGAAAAUUCAAACAUUUCCACUGUAGUUUGUUACUUGUCAUAACACCUGCAAGUGACAGAAGGAACAAUUCUGGGCCAAGCAGGGAAGGUCGUGUAGAGGGUGCCUGUUCGGUGCGGACAAACAAAGCAACCUGUUAUAUACAGCAUGUUUUGCUUUGAAAACCUGAAAUUUUCAUGCCCCUUAAACAUGGCAGAACUGAUCUGAAAAUCUUAGCAUUAAGCAUUUUUUUAAAUUUGAAAAAUCAGCACAUGUGACCAAGAGGAGGAGUAGGAGUGGUAUUUUUUUAAAUCCAUGUUUGCAGUUCAUGUCGUUUUCGGUUUAUCUUGGGGAAUGGACACAGGCAUGUAACAGCUUGGUUUUUUUUUUUCAAUCCCCUUUCCCCAGAAGUGGCCUUAAAAGUUUGUCUUCACUUUGUGGGCCACAAAAGUGACAUGGCAGAAAACAGCUCUUGUCAGUUUUCCAGACAAAAGGAAAAGAUGAAAAGGCAAUAACUAAUGAAAAGAAAAUCUGUGAUAUGACUGACAAGGUGACGAAGGCGUGAGGUGAAAAGGCUGUCCUGGAUUCUGAUAGAAAUGGGAAGAACAGGUCUCCAUCUGAGCCAUGGUUCAGACUGUCCUCCGGGAAGGCUGCUUCAGCAACACCAGUGCCUAAGCUCUUUCCCUUCUCUCAAUUCACCUACAGUUUCUGUAAUACAGAGAACAUGCUAGCGUGCUUUAAAUAAUCCACUCUCUUGUGUUUGACUGAGCUGCUCUUUCCAAUACAGUGUAGGGUCAGAAACAGCAUUUACAAUGUGAAAAAAAGAGCUACCAAGUAUUGAAUCUUUGCCUUGGGGGCAAUUCUGAAGGGGUAGGGCCUCAGUGCUCCCUUCUGGAACAUUCUACAGGGUCCCAGGGCAUCAGAGGCCCCUUCCCAGGUCUGUUUUCCCUGUGAGGAACCAUGUUACCAUUGUACAUAACCCUCUAUCCAUGGAUUAAUAACUGAGACUGGAUAAUUUUUAUUUUAUUUUAUUUUUGUACCAGGGAUAGAACUCACAACCUUAUGCUUACCAUGCAGGUGCUUAUGCUGCUGAGCUAAAUCUCCAGCCCUUGAGACUGGGUAAUUUUUUAAAUAGCAGAAAUUUAUCUGAGGUCUGAAGCCUGGAAGUCCAGGUAUGAUGUCCAGCAGGUGUGGUGUCUGGUGAAGACAAGGUGGUGGCAGUUCCUGCAGCCUCUGGAGGUGAUGAAUGUUAUAUCUUUGCAUGGCAGAGGGAUAGAAGGGGACAAAGAUUCCCAAGCUACUCCCUCACUGCCUCAUGUAAGGGUUCUAAUCCUCUUGGAGGGUAGAGCCCUCUCGACCUAGUCACCUUCCAGGCCUCACCGCUGAAUCCCGUUGCACUGGGGACUGUUGCAGCAUGGGUUGAGAGUCAGUAUCCUGGCUGUGGCGUUCAUCGAGCCUGCCCCUGUGUCCGUGAAGGGAGGUGGGCUUUAGACUUGAGUGCCAGGGACAGUCACCCUGUGCCACCUCAUUCUACCCUGAAGUUCCAAGGAGACCACGGAGUCUGCAUUUGAACCAGACUUUUCAGGCUCCUGUUCCUCAGUGGAACUUAGACAAUGCCAGCAGAGGUCCAUCUGGUGCUAGGAGAACUCUGGACAGAGGAGGCCUGGCUCAGAGUAGGAGGGCAGAGAGAGGCCUCUUGCAAAGGAUUGAGGCCCUCCAGGUCCCCGCUCGAGGUUGAGGCAGCCUUGGGAAGUCUUGACCACUUUAGUCCCUUCAAGUCUGUUUAAUUGCAAUCUUGUGAUUGCUAUCACUUAUCUGGGGCCAAGCAACGAGUUGACCAAAUAAUGAAAUGCUUAGCUGGCUUAACAAAAAAACCAUGGAGACUUGCUAAAUAAAUUAGGAAAAACAAAGUGGAAACUGCAGAUCCAUGUAACAAAUUCAAAGACUGUUUCAAGAUGGAAUUAAAGAACGGAGUUUAAGGGAAAGGAAGUGGUUAGGAGGGGAACAGCUGACACUGACCUGGCUAUACCAAAGCUCUCCCCCAAAAACAAAUGCAUGGCUCUGUGGUAGCCAUUCUGUGUAUUGUUCCAUUGUUUUGAAGCGUAGCAUAACUUUGUUCCUUUAGAUCCUUGUAAUUUUAAAUGUGGGUAAAAGUGAACAUAGUCCGGUUAAACUGAAGUUUUCUUCUACAUGGCUUAAAAGAAAAGGUUUGCUAAGAAAAUCUAGAGGGCAAAGUGCAAGAGAAUGUUGGGGUUACUUAAGAAAUCAGCUCUGAGCUGGGCAUGCCUAUGCCUAUAACCUAGCAUUCAAGCUGGAUGAGAGGAAGAUUGCAAGUUCCAGCUCAGCCUGGCCAACUUAGUAACUCUGUGAGACUCUGUCCCAAAAUUAAAAAUAAAAGGGAGUGGGAGCACUAGGGAGUUAGCUCAGUGCAAAGGCCCUGGGGUCAGUCCCAAGUACUGCAAAAGGAAAAACAUAUCAGCUCUUUACAGGACUUUAGCAGGAUAACUGUCAAUAUGCAGAUGGUGCUGUGAGUUAUAAGUGACUCAUGAGUGUUUUGAAAGGUGCUGAACAGGGUGUCUUCCUAGAAAUACUUAGGCAGCAUUCUGAGUUAGAAGUAGCAACUUACAUAUCAUCCUUGAGUAAUGACUCCUAAGACCUUUUAGACCAGUAACAUUUUUUAGGUGUUUACUGCAGGCCUGUUCUUUGUCCCAAGCACUUAGUAUUCACAACUUCAAUACAGUAGUGGCUGCAGGCACAAUGCCCAUUUUACAGAUGAGGAAACUGGGGCCUUUAAAUUGCCCAGCUAAGUGGCAGGGAAACAAAGACUAGCACAACAAGUGUUCUGCCUUUAGAAAGUCUUCAAUCUGGUGUUCUUUAAGCUCUCUAAUUUAAAAAGUGGGCCAGUUUCCUCUUCCUUCCAGAUGAUCUGAAUUUGGUGAGUUUCACAAAAAUAAAAUGAUGUUGAAAUAUUUUUCUGACCAAUUAACUGUUGUCACAUAUUAUAAUAGAAAAAUGUGAGAGAAAGCUGUCUUGUGGAACAGACUGGUCUACACUGGGGAAUCAGCUGCCUGCAGAAUACUCUUAUUUCCAAUUGUAACAUGUUUAUGAUGCCUGAACAAUGACAAAGACAGUGAUGGUUUUGUAACAGAAUCUCCGGAAAGCUAUUAGCAGGUUGGCAUUUCUAAUUCAUGUGGAAAUGCUCGUUUUACCAGGGAAUUAUAGCAGCAGUGUUUGUUUAAUUAAGUCUUGAUGGUUUGGAAGGGCAGUUUUUUGAAGUUCACAGUAUUACAGACACACAUACAUGCAGACCAAAGAAAAUUGGUGGAGCAGCUAAAUGUCAGGUUAUUUUCUUUUGAGCAAUCACUUUGACAUGGUAUGAGAGCUGUUUAACAAAGGAAUUAUUUAAAUAUGUUGUAUCCUUUCAUAAGAAUUUUUUAAUGGUAACUACAAUUGUACUAGGCUUAUAAAUGCCCCAAAGGAAAGGGGCCUCAACCUUCUCCUCUUCCUUUCCUUUUUUCUCCUCUCCUUUUCUCUCUUCUCUGCUCUCGUCUCUUCCCUUCUUUCCUCUUCUCCUUCCCUCCCACCUUUCUUCCUUUCUUUCUUCUGGGGAUGAAACCUAGGCUCUCGAUCAUGCAAAGCAUAUCUGUAUGCUGUGCCACUGAGCUAAACCCCAAGGCCCCACCCCUUUUGACUAUAGCUACAGAGAUCACCUUAUGUUUUAGAAGGCAGGUUAGACUCUAGUAGCAUUGAUUGAUUGAUUGAUUUUUUUGAGACAGGAUCCUACGAUGGAGUCCAGGCUGGCCCUGAACUUACAGUCAUCCUCUUGCCUUUGCCACCCAAACUCAAGAUCUAGUUUCUUUUUAAAACUCUACAUAGAGCAUUGGCAUAUUCUAAUCGAUGUGGAAGACAUCAUUAUACCAACAAGCAAAACAGGUUUGAAUGAGAAAAGCGGAUGGAAGUGAGAUGGAGAGAGACUCAAGAGUGUGAAGGGGACAGGAAAGGGCGCCCACUACUGCCAGCACCCAGUCCAGGGAAGGGUGUCUCAGAUGCUAGCGCCCCAGGCAGGGUGCGCUGCUCCCAGGGCCCAGCAGCCUAAGCCAGCCCACCUCGACUCUGGAUUCAUUUGUUUGGAGUAAGCAUUGGUUGAGCACUCUAGUCAGAAAAGACAGCCUGUAACCAAGUAGGUAAAACCUGCAAGGAUUGCGAUGGCAUUUUGUGUGAAGGAAAUAGGCUAACACUGAGUGUGGUAGAGGGACAGGAGGGCUAUUACAUCAGUGGUCAGGGAUGGCCACUCUAGGUCGUGGCCACUGAGCAGGAAAACAGCCAGCCAUGGGACAGUCUAGCCCAGAGGUCCUGGGGUCGGAAGGAGUUUGAUGUGUGUAAGAUGAGCAAGAAGGUACCAGGGUAGCUGGACCGAACAGGGGAAAGUGGGAGAUGAGACCAGAGAGCACCCAGGCCAGGCUAACUCCAACAGGGGCCUUUUAGGCCCAGCUAGGUGCUUGCAUUUUCUUCCUUGUAGAAUGGAAAUCACUGGAAGACUUCAAGCAGGAAAGUGAUACAGCUGAUUGUAUUCUUCAAAUGUUUCUGUGAGUACUGCAUGGAGACGAUUACAGGAAGGCGAGAGUGCUGAGGUGUGUGAGGAAUAGGCGUGCGGCCGGCAGGGAGCCGAGGCCUGGGGGACACUUCUGGAGUGGGGAGGAAAGGGGACUGGGCUGCCACCUGCAGCACUGGGUGAGCCGGGAAAGAGUCGAGGGGCCAUACUGUAGACCUGAGGUGUUGGGGCUGCCUGGGUUCUGCCGGUCCUCCUGAGUUCUACAGUCUGCAGCUGAGGGGGUGCUGGGGGCCAGGAGACGCUGAGACCCAGAGCUGCACCCUGGCCUUGGCCCUGAUUGCGGUGGGAUCCAAGAGGAAGGAAGCAGUGAUGCUGGGAGCUUUGGUCUUAACAUUUGUGACAGAAAAGAGCUGCGACUCUGCAGACACCCAAGUUAGCCAUUCCCACACGUCACACUGCAGCUGUGGGACCCAGGAACAGUGCAACAGCGAAUAACCUCAAGUUUAAAAAAAUUAGAAUGAAUGGGGCAGAAGUUAUGCAUAGGGAAGGGUACUUACCUAGCAUGUGAGAGGCCCCUAGCUCUCCUGGUAUGCCUGCCACCCUCCCCUGGCCCUAGUCAGGUACCUAAAGCAGGGUGCAGGGCUUGUAGGAGCCCGGAGAAGCUGAGGUGCAGCCAGGGGAGGGUGCUAGCUUGCAGCAGAGUCUCCUUGAGCACUUGCACAGGGGUAGCUGAUAUUCUAAAAGUGCUUCACGGGCCGGUGACCACACCUGUACCCCCGCACUGGGGAGGCUGAGGCAGGAGAAUCACCAUGAGUUCCAAACCAGCCAGAUACAUAGUGAGAACAAGGUCAUCCUAAGCUGCAAGUGAGACUCUGUCAAAAAACAAACUAAAGAUGCUUAAACCCACUCUACCCCUGCCUCAAGUUUAGGGGACAGAGAUUUGAGGGAAACUAAACUAGAGGCCAGGAGAUCAAUCUAGUUUGCAUGGUGGGUGAGAGGCAAAGGCCUGACUGGACACAGGGAGGAAGAGGAGGAGAUGGACUCAGGGAAGACCGGGGAGCAGAGUCCAGGAGGAGGGUGGCACAGGACAGGGAGGGAAAGGGGAAGGUGGGAGGCCACUCCCUGCCUGCCUGAGGAUAGCGCCUGCUUUUCCAGCCGCUGCCCGCUCAGGACAACUUCCUCCCAAAUCUAGGAGUGAGGUCCUGGGCUCGCUGUCCAGCAGCUCCAGCUGGCUGGGUCCCAGGCAGCAGCUCUCAGCCAGGGAACGCUCGGGUUACAGCUGUGUCCUGGCUUCAGAAACGGCCUCUCCAUGGCCCCACUUAAUAAAGUUACCAAAUGUGAGGGGUGACGGAUUCCUGGAGCAGGACUCGUGGAGCUCAGGGCCCAUCCUAGAGGGCUGACUCGCAGGUGUCAGCCCCACUUAGAGGUGACAGGCAACCUGGCAGUGCCAGUCAGAAAAAUGCCACCUUGGAUGAGUUGUACAGUGGGCUGUGAUGUUCAGAAGUUAUUUUCCUUUUCUACCUAUUUGUUAGUAAGUAGGGAGAACAUUAAUUUCAUUUUAUAAAUGUGUAAAACUUCAGAUUAAUGGUUUCCAGUUUUAGAGAAUGCACCUGGAAGCCGCUAUUUCUAACAAAGCUGUCCUUUUUGUAAUAAAGCAGUCCAUGCCCUUGUGGGUGAGGCCUCAAAGCCCCAGAUGACUUUUACUCAGAGUGGCUUUCUGCUGGGUCUGCUUCUCCCCAGUGCCUGCUUCCAAGAAGGCUGCCUGCGGGAGGGUCCUGGACCUGUGGUCCACCGGCUUCAGGGGAAAUACUUGAUUACAGUCCCUGCAGAGAAAGGGCAGCAGGUCAGGGUGUGAGCGUCCUAGAAAAGGUGAUUGUCUCCUAGAGAAAGGUUUUUUGCUUUUGUUUGUUUGAUUUUGUGAUACUGAGGACUGACUCCAGGACCUUCACCUUGAGCUGUAUGCCCAGCACUUUUAUAUUUUGUUUUGGUAUAGGUUCUCACUAAGGCACUAAGUUGCCCAGACUAGCCUGAAACUUGAGAGACUUCCUGCCUCAGCCUCCCAGUGUGCUGGAAUUAUAGGCAUGUGCUACUACGCCCAUCCCAGAAAAAAUUUGAGGCACGAUUGUGUAUUCAGGCUUACUGGGGCAGGAUUGUAAUGGCAAGGGUAAGGAGGAGAGUGAGUGAGACAGGAAAGCGCGUUGUUUCUUGGUCGCAUGGAGACUCUUCCAGAUGGGCCAGGUAGAUCCACCACACCCCAGGUGGGACAGGAGGGAAAAGGAAUUUACCUGCUGGCUUUUGCCGUCUCCUGGCUCCAGUGGUGACAGUUCUUCGUGUGAGGCAUUCACUCCCAGACGGGCCUGUAGAGUGGAUUUGGCUGCUCCUAAGUCACUGGGAAGCUGGCGCCCACUUCUGUUUGUGUUGGGCCUGGCAGGGCCUGAAAACACAAACCCAGUGUCUUAGUUUGUCUUCUGCUAUUAUAACAGCAUGACUAAGACUCGGUAAUUCACAGUGGACAGGAAUUCAUCUGGUGUGGCUCCAGAGGCCAGAGGCCUGAGAGCAGGGCCCUGGCACAGCACAAGGGCUUGGUGCUCCGUCGUUCUUUGGUGGAAAGCAGAAGGGCAGAGAGGGCGAGGGGCCAAGAAGGGCCAAAUUUGCUUUUUUUUUUUUUUAUUGGUACUGGGGAUCGAACUCACAGCCACGUGCUUGCAAGGCAGAUGUUUAUGCCGCUGGGCUAAAUCUCCAGCCCCUGGAUUUGCUUUUAUAACAAGGAGCUCUUGCGGUAACCAACCCACUGCUAUGAUGCCAACAUUCAUUCAUUCAUUGAUUCGGGCAGAGUAUGACUAAUUACCUCUGCUCCCAGGGCUUUGCAGGGGGACAGCCUCCAGGAUUAGUUCAGAACUCACCAGCACAGUUCAGCGAGGGUAUUAGGGGUCAGGCAGUGGUAGCCAUGGCCAAGGCCAGGGGACAGGUGGGACUAGGCAGGCUUGGGAGACAUAAACUGGGUUUGGUUCCAACACAAACAAGAAGCUAAGAGUAAAGAGCAGUUACUUUCUUGCCAUCCCCCUAAACCCAGGCCCACCCGCCUCCAAAAUGCUGUUCACAGCUUAUCCCUUUCUUUAGGUUGGCGUUUGUCUUUAGUACUAUAUGACAACAGAGAGGGAAGUCUGAGAGAAAUAGUAAAGGGAAAGAAUUCAAAUUUUCUAAUUUUGCAAAUUACCUCAUUUCUCUGUUGCGCUCUACUACUCAUAUGGUUUAUGUCUAGAUGUCCCCCAAAGCCUCAUACACUUGUAGAUGGGACUUUUUCAGAAGUAGCUGAACUUAGAGUUUGUGAUUGACUCACGGUUCAAUGCUGGGAUGAAGGGUGUGGAGAUUAAGGGUGAGUGAUGGGUCAUGGCUGGGAUCAGUCUGCUGAUUGGAUUGGCACUGCCCUGAUCCCAGCAGUCUGGGUGAGAUAAAAGGGGCAGAAAGAAACAUGUCUUCUGCUUUUCUGGCUUACUUUUGCUGUCUUUUGCUACCAUGAACUGUUUCUCCUCUGUGAUGCCCCUCUGCCAAUCUCCCCUGCCUUAGAGCCAGCCAAUUAUGGACUGAAACCUCUACAAACUGUGAACUAAAUAAACCUUUCCUCCUUUCACUUUGAGUGUUGGGUAUUUUGUCUCAGCAAUGAGAGGAAAAUAAUUAAGACAACUAUUUUUUGACCUUGAAAAAGUCAAUGAACUCCUCUGCACCACAAGAGGAAUUUAAGGAGGGUCAAAGUAGUCCAUGCAGCAUAGGGUCCUUGUUAGAAUUUGGUGAAAUGAAAUAUGCACCAGCACUUUUAAAACCUUGGCACGAGCUGCAAGGUGAGAGGCUAUUAUUGUCCUCCAUCUUCUACGGCCCUGCUCAUCAUCCCUCCUGAGAUAUUUUUAGCUGGUUUCCCACUCCCUUGGGCUUGGUCCCAGCAGAGUUCUUGCUACAUCCUGUCUAUUUCUGCCCCCUAGAUUCAAGUCCUGUUCUUGCCUCCUCUGCUCCCUGACACUGUCUGUCCCUGAACUCCCAGCCACUGGGGCAUGUGAGGGAGAAUUCGGACCUGCCACAGGCCUCCUAUUCUCUUAGCUCUAAUGGGCACUAAUUAUUAGGAUAAUGAUUUUUUCAAUCUCACAAGAAAAGGAGCUUCCUUUCAACGUAGGAGCAAGUGCAGCACAAGUACCGAAGUAUCAGGAACCCUGCGCGCCUGCCUGGGGGAAGCAGCGCCCACUGUAUGCUAGGGGAAGGGGACGCAGGCCACCUGUCCCUUUCAUUGCAGCACUUUCCCCCUUAACGCCCUGUCCUCCACAGUGUCUCUGUUUAGCCUCACAGUGACCCCUGUGAGCUGAGCAGGGCACCUCCCUUUUCACAGCAGAAUCGGAAUUUAGAGCAGACAGUGAGUUGCCCCAGGCCAGGGCGGCCAGUCCGAGGCCAGCCCAAACCAGAAGCUGUGUCUUCUCAUUCCAAGUAUUUUUUUCACACAUUGGUGCCAUUUGUUUUGGGUUGUCUCUGCUCCCUUUGUUCUUGAUUUUCAGAGAGCUUCUGUCUCAAGAGAAAGUGCCCUGCUCCUGACAGAGGCGUGGGUUCUUGGUACAGCCAUGAUUUUAACUCUGCACAGAAAGAGAGUCCUGCAGCACCAAGUCCACAUGGCCUCCUUCUGCCCUGAGGUCAGUGGAGGCCUAAACAGAAGUUUCCUCAGAGAACAGAGGGCACUCGUGGUGCUGUGAAUCUGCUCCAGAGUUGAGGGCAGGAGAAAGGUCCAGGGCAUCCCUACCUCAGCCUCCUAUCUUGGGGCCCCCCUUGUGGUAGGGGCAUCUGGGCCUCACCCUGCACCUCCAUUCCUAGAGGCACAGAAGUGGUGUCUGGCCUCAGGGAUUGCAGGUCUACAUGUGUGAAGGUAUGAAACAUGGCCAUGUGAUGGACACUUAGGCUUUCCUUUCUCCUCGCUUCCCAGGAACCAAAGCCAUUUACACUGGGUUGGCUCAAGUUGAGUCCUUGUCAGUCCCCGUCCCAACUCUUCAUUCAGAAUCCAGAACAGUAGAAAAAGGAGGAGCUGGGGAAAGAAGAAGGAUGUGACCAGAGUGAAUGGAAGCGGAUGGACCAAGGAGUUUCGGGAAGUGAAUUUCAUCAUUGCAGAGGAUGGUAUUUGGCAAAAUAAAUGGCCUGAACCUUCCCAUAGUGUAAAUUCUAAUACUGACAGUGAUGUGGAAUGGUAAUGGCUUGGAUCAUCAGUUCAUGCAAGAUUUGCUGUGUAUCAGUGUCUUCAGCGCUCUCCCAUUGCACGCAUGAGUCUGCUUUGCCUCACUGUGCCAGUGGGCACAUCCGUCUUUGACGAUGAGAUCUAAGUGCAAGUCUUCCUUCUCAGUGAAGGUCUUUCUCCAUGUUCUCCAGAUCAGGGCAUUACCAUCUGUAAGGCAGAUCCCCCCUGUAGAGACUUCCAGCCUGAGACUCCACUGAGCCCACCUGCUCCACCCCGAUCUGCAGUGACCCUCCUUGAGCCCUAUGCCCUGUGUACUGUGUCCUGCCCAGCUUUCUGGUCACGCUGCUAUUAUCUGGGAGCAGAGGUGGCUGUGUCCACCAGGAGUCCUGGCUGCAGGGAGGGGCUGGCCAGCGCACAGAUGUUCCACAGCGGAGGUCAGUAGCACCCAGGCCAGGAGACCCUGGUUCUGCCUUCCAGCUUCAACCUCCAGCAGGAGAAAGAGUUCCCCAUGUGUGCGCCAUGUCUGUGCCGGUCUCCUUCCCGCUUUCCCUUUCUCAGCACAUGUUUCCUUUACUGAGUAGAAUCAGACAAACAUGCAGGAACGGCCCCUCAGGUGUGAGCAGUUUAGUUACGUGGCGGGUUUGAGCUAAGGGUGGCACUGGGGAGUGUCACUCAGUAUUCACACAGAAUGACUUUCCUGUCCAGCAAGCUGGGGGCUGGUGUUUGCAGCUGAUCAUCACAGGGAUCGUGCUCCAACCUAAUUCCAGAAGAACCAACUUCCCUAGCAGAACAGACCACUGGGAACAACAUUUAAAUGAAAAUGUGGGUGAGAGUGUGAAACAGAUGAAAGGGGUUUGGGACAUCUAAGGGGACUGUUUGACCUUCCAAGACUGGUCUGAGGGUCUGUAUGUGUGGCUGUGAGCUGCUGAAGGCUGCCUGCCCCACCCACCCCAUACAUGGUUAUGAGAUUCCUGCAUUUGUUCAUAUAGAUCUUCAGUAUACUCCUGGGUCCUAUUCCUUCUCCUCUCUCAGACACUUAACUCCUUGAGAAUAGUGUCUUGGUGCCUCUGUUGUCUCUGACUGAGUCCCGAGCUUGCUCAGUAGUAUGGCCUGCUCUUUAGAUAACCACAUGGUUCAUGAAGUGCACAAAACCCCAGAGGUGAACUCAACCCAGGUAGGAUUAUGGACAGCAACUUGCUGGCCCCUGCCCUGCUGUGUGCUUUGUCUCCUCUCCAUUCAUGUAUUCUAAUGAUCCAGUCACUACAGCCUCCCUCAGAUUUGUAAGCAUUAAAAUCUAUAGCUUUCUCCUGGUGGGAGAAGAGCCUUCAGUCCCCAGGACCAAAAAAGGGAAUGUGCGUUUACGGGGUCUGGGCAGGCUGCCUGCGGUGCAGACAGAGCCAGGCAUCUGGGCAUUCCUGUCUACCACAACCUGUCUUCCCCACCACGACUUGGGCCAGCCCCUGGAGACGGCUGUGGUUAUUAAGACUUCACAGGACCCUGAACUACUGGCAACACAGCUACUGCUGGCAUCCUAGGACCACCCUCUCCUUCCCCUCAUCCCUCCUCCACAGGACUGAGCGCUCUGCAAAAAGAGAGAAGGGGCAGCAUGCCUUUAGCACCACAUGGAUGCCCCAGGGUGCAGUGAAUAGGGCCCUGUUCAUGUCCUGGACUUCAGGGGCUGCUUAGAGCCCUCCUCCUGCAGCUGUUCAGGCACUGACGAGGCUGUGCGGCUCGGCACCCACUCAGCACAUGGCUGCCACUUUCCUCUCCCCAAGGCUGCCUUUGGUUGCCACCUCGUCUCCUUGGGUUUCUCAGACAGCGGCUCCUUCUUAUGGGUUCCUGGGUCCAGCACACACAGGGAUCUAUGGGAGAUCCUAGGAGUCAGAUGUGUGGCUCUUCAGAAUAAAAGACUCAAACUGUGAGGAAGGAAGAAAGCAUUAAUGGAAGGGUAGAGGGGCUGAGCACUGGGCAUUUAGAGGCCUGUCAUGGGGUCAGAGGGUGGAGACUGGUUAGAAGACAGGUCCACAGGAAGUCCAUAAGCAAUGCCCGGUGGGGGCCUGCUUUCAUGGUGUCCUGAUGACGUCUUAGGUAUAGAGUUGAACAAAAAAGGACAUGGGUUUCCCAACAUCAAGAUGAACAGGGAGGACUUGACAACCCUUCAGGCCCAAUUUAGGUUUUCAAUCUGUGAUUUGGUAGGAGGAAGGAAAGGAGCAGUGAUGACUUUUCCCUGACCUUACUCCAGCACACCAUGGCCUGAGCUCGACUGCACACUCUGAUAGUCAUGGGCUAAACCCCUCCCUGACCAAAGCAUUAGACAAGCCCGGACCUAGUAGAGAAAGUAGGUAAACGUAGCCCCUACACCCGGAGCAAGUCAGAACCUAACUUUAGCUUCCUAUGACCAUAUGCAAAACUCACUCCAAAAACUCACCACUUCUCCUUUCCAUCUUGCACCUGUGGUGUUUGCAUACCUGGACUAUCCAUUAAGGCAUCUUGUUCCCUUAGCAACCAGCUCCUCCCCCUCCUGCACCCCAGAGGCAAAGCCUGCCUUUCUGCACUUGUGCUCUGAUGGGAGGGCCCUGGUAGAGGGCAAGGGACUCAGCAGGUACGAAGUUUUGAGCAGAACAAAGGAUUGUGAGGUCUUGCGUGGCCCUGUGGGAUGGGAUAUUGUCAGCUCAGGGGCCUGUAGUCCAGUUUUGCAAAUUCUCUGGGCUCCUUAUUUCCCCCUUCUCCUGGUUGCCUGCCUUUUGUUCUUAACACAGUUCAUUACCUCCCUAAACAGAGGUUGAACAAAGAAAAUGAAAGGAGAAAAAUGGGGAAAUGAAUACUCUGGUAAAAGAUCUGGUGGGGAAGGAAGUUAAAACCAAUUACCUUGAGAUUUCAAUUAUUCCACCUACUGUCUCCACUGCCUGCUUCUUGCUGGUGCAGAGCCAGAGAUCAGCAUUAAAUGCUGGGUGCAAAACGCUUUCAUACCCACUUGCCAACGAGUUCUUGACCUUUGACUUGAAAGCUGGUGAGUCCCGGGGUCAGUUGCUCCCCUGUGACCUGUGCAUUGUCCAAUGCCACACACACGCCCAGCUGCAAACAGAGGGCUCUGUCUUGUGAGGACCGCUCAGGAAGGAGCCAUGAGUGCCUCCCUUGGCACCAUAGAGAUAAAGGGCUGGGCCGUGGGAAUGGAGGGGCUAGAAGAGGCAAAGAAGCAUGUCCUCCUGCAUUGCUCCCCGGAAGCACGCCAGAGUCCUGAUGUCUGGGCCAGAGGGAUUGCGACAUUUUAGAGGAACAUCAAGGAACAGAUCUGAGCAGUGAGAAGAGGCCAACAAGUAAAGCCCCGAUCGCCUGUCUGGCGAGAAGAGCACAUCUAGCUGCCAGGAAAGUCAGCGCUAGACUUCUCUGCCUCUUGCUUUCACCUUACUUAUUCUUCCUCCCCAGCAGACUCUCAUGCUAAGAAACGCAGAGCUGGGUCUCACCGUCCUGCAGGGCGUCUCAAGCGCUCCACUGAAGUCAGAUGGAGCUGUGCACCCGUGGGAAAUGCCACAGCUGAUGGGAGAGAAGUGCGUCUCUUCUCAGUAAGCAGGCGCUUACUGAGGGAGGGAUGUGUGGCAGAAUUAUUACCCCAAUUUGACUAUUCCUACCCUGCCCGUGGCAGAUCUUGGCCCCUCAGAAGAGAUGUCGUUUUCUCUUAAGGAAGAACUGUGGACGCUCUGGGCCUGGAACCCCACAUGAGCUGCAACUCAGAAAGCGAAGUCCAGGGAAUUAAUACAACGCCCGUGCCCAUGUAGCUUUCUGAUAUAACUGAUGGCGUCUGGGUACACAGAGGUACAGCUCAUCCCACCCAACAGGGCUUCAGAAGCCCACGGUGAGAGUCGGGUGAUACAGAGGAAACACUGGCACGCAGGCCGCUGCGGAGCAGCACAGAAUGCACAGGCACAAGGAUUCGCUAAAGGCCCCUCCAGCUCCAGCCACGGUCCAGGCAGCACGCAGCUUUGCAGUCGAUGAUGUGACGCUUUCUGCUCAGUGUCCCACCAGCAGCACCUGCACCGCGGAGACUCCUGGCUGUGCCGAGGGGAGGGCUCCAGAGGAAGGGCUGGGGCAGAUGAGCUGCCCAACUCUCCCACCCUUUUCCCCACGUUUAGAGCGGUGACAGAAAGUGUGGAGUGACAGGAGAACCACUAGAGAAUGAUUUUGCAGAUACAACCUAGAGAAGACAGCGUUUUUGUUUUGUGUGGACCUGGAGUAGGCCUGGACGCGAAGGGCUGGGAGCCAGGCGGUGCCCCUGGGCAAAGCAGAUGGGUGUCGAGGACUGAGAUGCAGAAGGGGGUCUGUCUGUUUGUCUAUCUGUGUCUGUCAGAGAAAGAUAGAAAUGUGUAGGAGGGAGAACUCCAAAUAAACUCACCUUUGAAAUGACCGUUUCUCCUUGGAAA